UGUUAUGGUAAGAAGGAAGAAGGAAGGAAGGAAAGAGCAAAAGGAAGGAAAGAAGGAAAGAGUGAAAGGGAAGGGAGGAAAGAAACAAAAAAAAUUAUCAAUGCAAGUGAAUAUGUCUGUGUACAUAUCCAUGAAUACAUACAUAUAUUUCAAAAUUCUGACCAUGGAGAGGACCUAGGUGCAAUGACACCCCAGUAGCAAUUAAUAACAAGUAUGUAGGUUCCAAUUUCCAUAACAAACAACAAGGACUCCUUGUAAAAGUGGAUGAUUCAAGGAUGGAGGUAGAGAAAUUUCAAGAUAAGCCUGGAACGUUGGAUAAUAAUGAACUGUGGUUUGAAUGCUGGUAUUUAUCGCUGUGGUUUCAACUUGCUUAACUUGCUCAAUGGAAUGCUAUCUCUAGAGUACUGAAAGAAACUAAAGGCCAACGUGUGAAAAACAAUCUUCAGAAAUGAACGUUAAAUGAUGACAUUUUCAAACAAACAAGCAACAAAAAGAAGCAAAAAGUAAACAAAAAACAAAAAUUCACAUAAUUUAUUGCUAGGAGUUUUACACUGAAAUGCUGAAGGGAUUUCUACUAGCAAAAGUAAAAAUGAUCUCAUUUGAAAAGAUGGAAAUUCAAGGAGGGAAUGAAGAAUACUGGAUGGGUAAAUGUGUUGGUAACUGUAAAUGAAUACUGACUACACAAAAUUAUGUUGAAUAACUGAAAGAUGAAAACACAAUCACUUGAAGGAGAAAUGUAUGGUCAAACUGCAUGCAGGAAAAACUUCUAUAAAAGAGUUACUUCAUGCUCUGGGUUGGCAGAUACAAUGAGCAGGAGUGCAUCAGAAGUAAUCAAGAAGGUGAUUAGUUGGUGUACUUCAGCAGGAGCAACCAGAUGAAUUGGCUUCUCUAUAUCCCCGUAUUAGCCACAAGCUAGGCAGCAGCCUGCAGGUGGGAGCAAUGCCUAUGCAUGUAUGGAUCAGUGUGCUACAUACAGGCAUUUUUGUUAUAGCAGCCUGACUAGACUAAGACAUUGUAGUAUGUAAGCAAAAUGGGCUCAUUUUUAUAUAUGACAGAGACAAAAAAACAUAAAACAUAUUACUGGAAAGAUACUAAAGCACUCAGAUAAAAUGAAAUGGAAAUGCUAUUUUCUCCAUGAGAAAACAAAAAAGAAGAGGAAGAUAAUAAGGUGCCUGAUUUAAAAAAAAAAAAAAAACUUUUACUUUUGAAUAGUUUCAGAUUUACAAAAAAAAGUCGUGAUGAUAGUACAGAAGGUGGCUAUAUAACCUGUACCCAGUUUCUGUUAUUGUUAACAUACCACAUCUCUAUGAUUCAUUUUUAACAACUAGUGAAUGGUUAUUGACAUAUUUUAAUUAACUAAAGACCAAACGUUAUUCAAAUAUUUUUACUUUUUACCUAAUAACCUCUUUCUGCCCCAGGAUCCAAUUCAGGGUGUGUGACAUUACAUUUAGUCAUCAUGUCUUCUGAUUUCAGUCUGUAUAAUUCCCAGUUCCUCACAGCUGGGACUCCUGACAUCCCAUAUACAAGAGCAACUCCACCCCUGUGUCAGGCCAUAUUUAAACUGUGCUAAUCCCCCAGGCAGAAGCCUCAGUAUCAAGUCCCAUUCUUAAUAUCAAGUCCCAUUAGGUUUGACCCCAUACUAAAAGCUACCAAGUUAGCCAGUCAGUCCCAAAUUACAGGCCUUCCAUGUACUCUGUUCCACAGGUCACGUUGACAGCAUGAACCUUCGAUGUGAUGUGAGGAAAAUGGCAUUCUACCUCUGUGUUCUUCCUCCCCAAAAUUUGUAACCACCAUCUAAUCAUGAGGAAAACAUCAUACAAGUCCAAAUUGAGGAAGAUUCUACAAAAUGCCUGAUUAAUAUUCAUCGAAACUGUCAAGGUCAUCAAAAGCAAGGAAAGUCUGAGAAACUGCCACAGCCUAAAGACAAUCCAGGGAAACGUGAUGACUCAGUGGUAUUCGGGGUGGGUUU
This 1969-nucleotide long non-coding RNA is filed under the name Homo sapiens (human). RNAcentral describes it as "non-protein coding LINC01277:6". The record is from RNAcentral. Lineage: Eukaryota; Metazoa; Chordata; Mammalia; Primates; Hominidae.